RNAcentral lists this ribosomal RNA (1290 nucleotides) under Tarbinskiellus sp. RNAcentral's name for it is "16S ribosomal RNA". The stretch from base 857 to 1219 matches the Rfam family "Archaeal large subunit ribosomal RNA", at positions 2151 to 2715 of the family's 2987-position model. Lineage: Eukaryota; Metazoa; Arthropoda; Insecta; Orthoptera; Gryllidae. The record is from RNAcentral.
AUUUUAAUAAAAGAAUUAUUUGUUUUGUUAAAUGAAAAUAUUCUUGGGAAUCAUUGAUUUUAGUAUAUAUUGAAUUUAUUGUAUUAUAAUUAUAGUUUAAUUUUACAGUGAUGGGUGUUUGAAAUAAAUUGAAAAUUAUAUUUUAAGGUAGAAGAUUAUUUGUACCUUUUGUAUCAGGGUUUAUUAAAUAUGAUAUAUUUAUUUUAUUUUUCUCGAAUUGAGGAGAGUUACUUAUAUAUUAUUGUUAUUGUGGUAUAAAUAUAUUGAAUAUAUAAGUGGUAGUGAUAUGUUAUUCGUUCUUCAAGAUAUCUAGUUUUCUAAGAUUGUAAUUUAAUUUCGAUGUUGAUUUUAUUAUGAUUUAUUUAUUGGAAUUAUAAUAUAUCAAUAUUAAUUGUUUGGGGGAUAAGCUCGAAAUAAAUUGAUUUAUAUGUAUAUAGUUUUUUCUUAAAUGUGGGCUUUAAGUUAGCCAUUAUUUUUGAGUGUGUUAUAAUUUUUGAUAAUUAUUAUUUGUAUUUAUAUUAAAUUUUUAUUAGAAUGUUUUGAUUAAUAAAUUAUUUUAGGUAAUAAUGAUGUAAUUAGUAAAUUUUAUUGUUUAUUUUAUAUAAGGUUUUAUUUAUUUUAAGGAAUUAGGCAAAUAUAUUGUUCGCCUGUUUAUCAAAAACAUGUCUUCUUGUAUUUAUCUGAAGUCGUGCCUGCCCACUGAAUAAUUUAAAGGGCCGCGGUAUUUUGACCGUGCAAAGGUAGCAAAAUCAUUAGUCUCUUAAUUGGUGGCUGGAAUGAAUGGUUUGACGAAACAAUAACUGUCUCGGAAUUAUGAAUUGAAUUUUACUUUUAAGUUAAAAGGCUUAAAUGAUGAUAGGGGACGAGAAGACCCUAUAGAUCUUUAUAAUAAAUUUAUAGUUUUUUAUUUGGUUAAUUUAUUUAAAUCUAUGGAUUUUUUAUUUCGUUGGGGUGACGAAAGAAUAAAAUAACUUCUUUAUUAAUUAACUAUGAUGAUUGGUUAUAUGAUCCUUUAUAUAUGGAAUUAAGAUUAAGAUACCUUAGGGAUAACAGCGUAAUUUUGUUGAAGAGUUCUUAUCGAUAAUGAAGAUUGCGACCUCGAUGUUGGAUUAAGAAUAUUGCUGGAUGCAGAAGUUCAGGUUAGUUGGUCUGUUCGACCAUUAAAUUCUUACAUGAUCUGAGUUCAAACCGGUGUGAGCCAGGUUGGUUUCUAUCUCUAUUAAAAGUUUAUGUUUUAGUACGAAAGGACCAAACAUAUUAAAUAGUUUAUUUUUUUAGAAUUUCAUUAAU